UACGUAGGUGGCAAGCGUUGUCCGGAAUUAUUGGGCGUAAAGCGCGCGCAGGCGGUCCUUUAAGUCUGAUGUGAAAGCCCACGGCUCAACCGUGGAGGGUCAUUGGAAACUGGGGGACCUGAGUGCAGAAGAGGAAAGCGGAAUUCCACGUGUAGCGGUGAAAUGCGUAGAGAUGUGGAGGAACACCAGUGGCGAAGGCGGCUUUCUGGUCUGUAACUGACGCUGAGGCGCGAAAGCGUGGGGAGCAAACAGG
Molecule: ribosomal RNA, 253 nt
Filed under: uncultured bacterium
Lineage: Bacteria
Description: partial 16S ribosomal RNA
Rfam family: Bacterial small subunit ribosomal RNA
Source: RNAcentral